RNAcentral lists this ribosomal RNA (264 nucleotides) under uncultured bacterium. RNAcentral's name for it is "partial 16S ribosomal RNA". It matches the Rfam family "Bacterial small subunit ribosomal RNA", at positions 793 to 1055 of the family's 1533-position model. The record is from RNAcentral.
GUCCACGCCGUAAACGAUGAGUGCUAGAUGUCGAGGGUAUUGACCCCCGCGGCGUCGUAGCUAACGCGUUAAGCACUCCGCCUGGGGAGUACGGCCGCAAGGCUAAAACUCAAAGGAAUUGACGGGGCCCGCACAAGCGGUGGAGCAUGUGGUUCAAUUCGACGCAACGCGCAAAACCUUACCUGGGUUAAAUCCACUAGAAUCCUGCAGAGAUGUGGGAGUGCUCUUCGGAGAAUUAGUGAGAAGGUGCUGCAUGGCUGUCGU